Molecule: non-coding RNA, 1366 nt
Organism: Perca flavescens (yellow perch)
Lineage: Eukaryota; Metazoa; Chordata; Actinopteri; Perciformes; Percidae
Source: the annotation of a RefSeq genome assembly
AUGAGGAUGGUGAUGAGAGUCAUGGUGGUUGUGCUUUCUGCUGUGUUGACUGACAGAUCUGAGUCCUGCAGUGUUGAACUCCCAGGACUAUAAACCUUCUCAGUUCACUGGAGGAUCAGCUGACCAUGCAAAGCCUCCUCUCUAUGGAAAUGAUUUCUCUGCUCUCAACAGACUGAAGGCAACGUGGGACACAACAUCAGGAGAAAUACUGCUCGCAUUAACAAUAUCUCUGAUCUUAAUGGAAUAGAAGAAUAUGUUGAUAUUAGAAGUGCAGUUGAGGAUUUAAGGAUGAGUUUGUGUCCACUGUGGUUGGUAUGAGAUGUCUGUUUGUCUGCCUUUAAAUUACUUACAGGGCUUACUGAAGAUAAAUAACAUAUUUCACUUCUGCUUGAAAUUUUGCAUUAAUUAUUAUUAUUUAAAAUAAUCAUAUUCAUUUAACUUUGUAUCAACUGAUAUAAAACUAUGAAAAAUGCCUUUGUUACAAGGAGACUGUAAUCGUUUCUCUGUCAGGUGUAGAAAAGUAAAGCAAAAUUAAACAAAUUAUCUUCUUUAUGCAAUAAUUUCAAUCUGUAUCAUUAUUAAACCAUUGUAUAUUCAAUUAUGUAUGAAAAUGUCUGUGAGAUUAGAAAAAUCAGAGAGUUUUCAGUGGAUAGAUGCUUGUUCCCAGUGCAGGAGGUUUUUGUACGGCCUCUUAAUGAGUUUGUAUCACUGUGGUACACUUUUGGUGGAGGAACCAAACUCACCGUUGACUUGGGUGUCGUGCGGCCCACCCUGAGCCUCCUCCCCCCCUCCAGAGAGGAGCUGCAGCAGGGCAGUGCCACACUGGUGUGUCUGGCCAGCGGGGGCUUCCCCUCAGCCUGGAGGCUGGGCUGGAAGGUGGGGGGCAGCAGCAGCUCCUCAGGGGUGUCCCACAGCCUGGAGGUCCUGGGGGGGGACGCCCACUACAGCUGGAGCAGCACCCUGAGCCUCCCUGCAGACCAGUGGAGGAAGGCGGGCUCAGUGAGCUGUGAGGCCAGUCUGAAUGGACAGAGCCCUGUCACUCAAAACCUGGACCCUGACCACUGCUCAGAGUAGAGCUUCAGCAACACUUCCUGUCUGGAAAUGAUGCUGCUUCUUUGGUAGAGAUCUUGAUGAAGCUACACAUCUCCUCUGCUCACAUAUUUCUGCACGUUUCACAGCUCUCUACUCUGUGUUUUAGUGUGCAUGUUGCUUUCUUAUACUCAUCUUCUGCAUAUUCUUCUUUAUGUUCAUCACUAUUCAUGUUAAACUAAAUUUAAUUAGUUUCACUCCAAGAGAAAGUAAUCAUUCAUCAAAACUGUGGAAUGAACAUUAAACCAUCAUUAAAUAAAACUGUGGAUUAUAAUGA